AACGCGAAGAACCUUACCUACUCUUGACAUCCAGAGAACUUAGCAGAGAUGCUUUGGUGCCUUCGGGAACUCUGAGACAGGUGCUGCAUGGCUGUCGUCAGCUCGUGUUGUGAAAUGUUGGGUUAAGUCCCGCAACGAGCGCAACCCUUAUCCUUUGUUGCCAGCGAUUCGGUCGGGAACUCAAAGGAGACUGCCAGUGAUAAACUGGAGGAAGGUGGGGAUGACGUCAAGUCAUCAUGGCCCUUACGAGUAGGGCUACACACGUGCUACAAUGGCAUAUACAAAGAGAAGCGACCUCGUGAGAGCAAGCGGACCUCAUAAAGUAUGUCGUAGUCCGGAUUGGAGUCUGCAACUCGACUCCAUGAAGUCGGAAUCGCUAGUAAUCGUGGAUCAGAAUGCCACGGUGAAUACGUUCCCGGGUCUUGUACACACCG
RNAcentral lists this ribosomal RNA (434 nucleotides) under uncultured Klebsiella sp. Its description in RNAcentral is "bacterial SSU rRNA". It matches the Rfam family "Bacterial small subunit ribosomal RNA", at positions 958 to 1392 of the family's 1533-position model. Lineage: Bacteria; Pseudomonadati; Pseudomonadota; Gammaproteobacteria; Enterobacterales; Enterobacteriaceae. The record is from RNAcentral.